UAGUGGCGGACGGGUGAGUAACGCGUGGGAAUCUGCCCUCAGGAGGGGGAUAACGGUUGGAAACGACCGCUAAUACCCCAUAUGCCGAGAGGUGAAACGAAAUUCGCCUGAGGAUGAGCCCGCGUCUGAUUAGCUAGUUGGUGGGGUAAAGGCCUGCCAAGGCAUCGAUCAGUAGCUGGUCUGAGAGGAUGAUCAGCCACACUGGGACUGAGACACGGCCCAGACUCCUACGGGAGGCAGCAGUGGGGAAUUUUCCGCAAUGGGCGCAAGCCUGACGGAGCAACGCCGCGUGAGGGAUGAAGGCCUCUGGGCUGUAAACCUCUUUUCUCAAGGAAGAAGAACUGACGGUACUUGAGGAAUAAGCCACGGCUAA
RNAcentral lists this ribosomal RNA (373 nucleotides) under uncultured bacterium. RNAcentral describes it as "bacterial SSU rRNA". It matches the Rfam family "Bacterial small subunit ribosomal RNA", at positions 93 to 500 of the family's 1533-position model. The record is from RNAcentral.